AUCCGGCUGACCAGUCCCAAACAUGACGAAACAUACGUCCUGGAU
Non-coding RNA from Schistosoma margrebowiei, 45 nucleotides. NCBI's taxonomy places the organism in Eukaryota, Metazoa, Platyhelminthes, Trematoda, Strigeidida, Schistosomatidae. The record is from Rfam.